Molecule: ribosomal RNA, 468 nt
Filed under: uncultured bacterium
Lineage: Bacteria
Description: partial 16S ribosomal RNA
Rfam family: Bacterial small subunit ribosomal RNA
Source: RNAcentral
GACGAACGCUGGCGGCGUGCUUAACACAUGCAAGUCGAACGGAAAGGCCCUGCUUUUGUGGGGUGCUCGAGUGGCGAACGGGUGAGUAACACGUGAGUAACCUGCCCUUGACUUUGGGAUAACUUCAGGAAACUGGGGCUAAUACCGGAUAGGAGCUCCUGCUGCAUGGUGGGGGUUGGAAAGUUUCGGCGGUUGGGGAUGGACUCGCGGCUUAUCAGCUUGUUGGUGGGGUAGUGGCUUACCAAGGCUUUGACGGGUAGCCGGCCUGAGAGGGUGACCGGCCACAUUGGGACUGAGAUACGGCCCAGACUCCUACGGGAGGCAGCAGUAGAGAAUAUUGCACAAUGGGCGGAAGCCUGAUGCAGCAACGCCGCGUGCGGGAUGACGGCCUUCGGGUUGUAGACCGCUUUCGCCUGUGACGAAGCGUGAGUGACGGUAAUGGGUAAAGAAGCACCGGCUAACUACGUG